CUUACCCAUGUCUUUUGAGUCACCUUACGUUACCUCGGCGGGUCCGCCCGCCGAUUGGACAAACUUAAACCAUUUGCAGUUGCAAUCAGCGUCUGAAAAAAACUUAAUAGUUACAACUUUCAACAACGGAUCUCUUGGUUCUGGCAUCGAUGAAGAACGCAGCGAAAUGCGAUAAGUAGUGUGAAUUGGCAGAAUUCAGUGAAUCAUCGAAUCUUUGAACGCACAUUGCGCCCCUUGGUAUUCCAUGGGGCAUGCCUGUUCGAGCGUCAUUUGUACCUUCAAGCUCUGCUUGGUGUUGGGUGUUUGUCUCGCCUCUGCGUGUAGACUCGCCUCAAAACAAUUGGCAGCCGGCGUAUUGAUUUCGGAGCGCAGUACAUCUCGCGCUUUGCACUCAUAACGACGAGCGUCCAAAAGUACAUUUUUUACACUCUUGACCUCGGAUCAGGUAGGGAUACCCGCUGAACUUAAGCAUAUCAAUAA
This 480-nucleotide ribosomal RNA is filed under the name Phoma moricola. RNAcentral describes it as "eukaryotic LSU rRNA". The stretch from base 115 to 269 matches the Rfam family "5.8S ribosomal RNA". The record is from RNAcentral. Lineage: Eukaryota; Fungi; Ascomycota; Dothideomycetes; Pleosporales; Didymellaceae.